UACGGUAGGGCGCAAGCGUUUGUCCGGAAUUAUUGGGCGUAAAGAGCUCGUAGGCGGUCUGUCGCGUCCGUUGUGAAAAACUCGAGGCUCAACCUCGGGCUUGCAGUGGAUACGGGGCAGACUAAGAGUGCGGUAGGGGAGACUUGGAAUUCCUGGUGUAGCGGUGGAAUGCGCAGAGUAUCAGGAGGAACACCGAUGGUCGAAGGCAGCCCCCUGGGCCAAUAUGACGCUCAUGCACGAAAGCGUGGGGAGCAAACAGGAAUUAGAAACCC
Molecule: ribosomal RNA, 272 nt
Filed under: uncultured bacterium
Lineage: Bacteria
Description: partial 16S ribosomal RNA
Rfam family: Bacterial small subunit ribosomal RNA
Source: RNAcentral